GCUUUGAUGGAUGGCGACCGGCGCACGGGUGAGUAACACGUAUCCAACCUGCCGACAACACUGGGAUAGCCUUUCGAAAGAAAGAUUAAUACCGGAUGGCAUAGUUUUCCCGCAUGGGAUGAUUAUUAAAGAAUUUCGGUUGUCGAUGGGGAUGCGUUCCAUUAGGCAGUUGGCGGGGUAACGGCCCACCAAACCAACGAUGGAUAGGGGUUCUGAGAGGAAGGUCCCCCACAUUGGAACUGAGACACGGUCCAAACUCCUACGGGAGGCAGCAGUGAGGAAUAUUGGUCAAUGGACGAGAGUCUGAACCAGCCAAGUAGCGUGAAGGAUGACUGCCCUAUGGGUUGUAAACUUCUUUUAUACGGGAAUAAAGUGAGCCACGUGUGGCUUUUUGUAUGUACCGUAUGAAUAAGGAUCGGCUAACUCCGUGCCAGCAGCCGCGGAAAUACGGAGGAUCCGAGCGUUAUCCGGAUUUAUUGGGUUUAAAGGGAGCGUAGGCGGGUUGUUAAGUCAGUUGUGAAAGUUUGCGGCUCAACCGUAAAAUUGCAGUUGAUACUGGCGACCUUGAGUGCAACAGAGGUAGGCGGAAUUCGUGGUGUAGCGGUGAAAUGCUUAGAUAUCACGAAGAACUCCGAUUGCGAAGGCAGCUUACUGG
This 655-nucleotide ribosomal RNA is filed under the name uncultured Bacteroidales bacterium. RNAcentral's name for it is "bacterial SSU rRNA". It matches the Rfam family "Bacterial small subunit ribosomal RNA", at positions 77 to 732 of the family's 1533-position model. Lineage: Bacteria; Pseudomonadati; Bacteroidota; Bacteroidia; Bacteroidales. The record is from RNAcentral.